RNAcentral lists this ribosomal RNA (459 nucleotides) under uncultured bacterium. RNAcentral describes it as "partial 16S ribosomal RNA". It matches the Rfam family "Bacterial small subunit ribosomal RNA", at positions 338 to 795 of the family's 1533-position model. The record is from RNAcentral.
CCUACGGGAGGCAGCAGUGAGGAAUAUUGGUCAAUGGCCGGAAGGCUGAACCAGCCAAGCCGCGUGAAGGACGAAGGUGCCAAGCAUUGUAAACUUCUUUUGUCAAGGGACAAAAUCAGGCUCGAGAGCCUGACCGAGGGUACUUGAAGAAAAAGCAUCGGCUAACUCCGUGCCAGCAGCCGCGGUAAUACGGAGGAUGCGAGCGUUAUCCGGAUUUAUUGGGUUUAAAGGGUGCGUAGGCGGACUGUUAAGUCAGCGGUAAAAGCCCGGGGCUCAAACCCGGCGAGCCGUUGAAACUGGAUGUCUAGAGAUGGCGAGAGGCAGGCGGAAUGUGUAGUGUAGCGGUGAAAUGCUUAGAUAUUACGCAGAACACCGAUUGCGAAGGCAGCAUACCGGCGGCGAUCUGACGCUGAGGCACGAAAGCGUGGGGAUCGAACAGGAUUAGAUACCCUGGUAGUC